AUCGCUUCUCAGCCUUGAGGCUUAAGAUCAAGUGUAGUAUCUGUCCUUCCCCCUAACCCUCACCACAUAACAUUCAUGUACCAUCUUUAAAAUGUAAGAAUCUUUUUUUUUAAAGAUUUUAUUUAUUUAUUCAUGAGAGACACAGAGAGGCAGAGACAUA
RNAcentral lists this small nuclear RNA (160 nucleotides) under Canis lupus familiaris (dog). Its description in RNAcentral is "U2 spliceosomal RNA (multiple genes)". It matches the Rfam family "U2 spliceosomal RNA". From Rfam's summary of the family: U2 is a small nuclear RNA (snRNA) component of the spliceosome (involved in pre-mRNA splicing). Complementary binding between U2 snRNA (in an area lying towards the 5' end but 3' to hairpin I) and the branchpoint sequence (BPS) of the intron results the bulging out of an unpaired adenosine, on the BPS, which initiates a nucleophilic attack at the intronic 5' splice site, thus starting the first of two transesterification reactions that mediate splicing. Lineage: Eukaryota; Metazoa; Chordata; Mammalia; Carnivora; Canidae. The record is from Rfam by way of RNAcentral. RNAcentral also lists the same sequence under 1 other name.